Molecule: ribosomal RNA, 2000 nt
Filed under: marine sediment metagenome
Description: bacterial LSU rRNA
Rfam family: Bacterial large subunit ribosomal RNA
Source: RNAcentral
AUAGGCUAAUUAAGAGCGUAAGGGGAAUGCCUUGGCUCUCAGAGGCGAUGAAGGACGUGAUAAGCUGCGAUAAGCUGUGGGGAGUGGCACAAACACUUUGAUCCGCAGAUUUCCGAAUGGGGCAACCCGGCAUAUUGAAGAUAUGUCACACUGUAAAGUGAGCGAACCUGGUGAACUGAAACAUCUAAGUAACCAGAGGAAUAGAAAACAAAAGUGAUUCCGCUAGUAGUGGCGAGCGAACGUGGAACAGCCUAAACCUAUGUUGUUACGGCAAUAUAGGGGUUGUAGGACCUCAACAUUUAAUGCUAAUAGAACUAGAAUUUACUGGAAAGUAAAACCAUAGAAGGUGAUAGUCCUGUAUAGGUAAUUGAUGUUAUUAAUAGAGGUAUCCUGAGUAGUACGGGGCACGUGAAACCUUGUAUGAAUCUGCCAGGACCAUCUGGUAAGGCUAAAUACUCCUGAGAGACCGAUAGUGAACUAGUACCGUGAGGGAAAGGUGAAAAGAACCCUGAAUAAGGGAGUGAAAUAGAUCCUGAAACCUUACGCUUACAAGCGGUCGGAGCACAUUUAUGUGUGACGGCGUGCCUUUUGCAUAAUGAGCCUACGAGUUACCUUUGCUAGCUUGGCUAAUCCAUUCAGUGGAGCAACCGUAGCGAAAGCGAGUCUGAAUAGGGCGAAUUUGUUAGCAGUGGUAGACGCGAAACCUAGUGAUCUAUCCAUGGGCAGGUUGAAGCUGUAGUAACAUACAGUGGAGGACCGAACCCGUUGACGUUGAAAAGUCUUGGGAUGACCUGUGGAUAGGGGUGAAAGGCCAAUCAAACUCGGAAAUAGCUCGUACUCCCCGAAAUGCAUUUAGGUGCAGCGUUGUGUUAGUUUUAUAGAGGUAGAGCUACUGAUUGGAUGCGGGGGCUUCACCGCCUACCAAUUUCUGACAAACUCCGAAUGCUAUAAAAUGUUUCGCAGCAGUGAGGGCAUGGGUGCUAAGGUCCAUGUCCGAGAGGGAAAGAACCCAGACCAUCAGCUAAGGUCCCCAAGUAUAUACUAAGUUGUUUAAACGUUGUGCGAUUGCAUAGACAGCUAGGAUGUUGGCUUGGAAGCAGCCAUUCAUUUAAAGAGUGCGUAACAGCUCACUAGUCGAGCGGUCGAGCAUGGAUAAUAAUCGGGCAUAAGUAUAUCACCGAAACUAUGGCAAUAUUUAUAUUGGGUAGGGGAGCAUUCUAUUCUGCGUUGAAGGUAAACUGUGAGGUUUGCUGGAGCGUAUAGAAACGAAAAUGUAGGCAUAAGUAACGAUUAGGGGUGCGAGAAACACCCCCUCCGAAAAACUCAGGUUUCCUCAGCCAUGCUAAUCAGCUGAGGGUUAGUCAGGACCUAACGCGAACCCAAAUGGGGUAGUGGAUGGACAACCAGUUAAUAUUCUGGUACCUGCUUAACAAUAAACGUGACGGAAAAGCAAUGUCAUUGCGCACUGACGGAUGUGCGUUGAAAUCACUGUUAAGGUGAUGAUAGUACACCGAUUCUUCGGAUGAGGUGAUAAUAUGGCGGACCUUUUUCCAAGAAAAACAAGUUAAGCAGCCUGUACUGUAAACCGACACAGGUAGUUGGGAUGAGUAUUCUAAGGAGCUCGAGAGAUUCAUGGAUAAGGAACUAGGCAAAUUUGACCCGUAACUUCGGGAGAAGGGUCGCCUACUUUAUUGUAGGCCGCAGUGAAAAGGUCCAAGCGACUGUUUAUCAAAAACACAGGACUCUGCUAAGUCGAAAGACGAUGUAUAGGGUCUGACACCUGCCCGGUGCUGGAAGGUUAAGUGGAGAUGUUAGCUUCGGCGAAGCAUUGAAAUGAAGCCCCAGUAAACGGCGGCCGUAACUAUAACGGUCCUAAGGUAGCGAAAUUCCUUGUCGGGUAAGUUCCGACCUGCACGAAUGGUGUAACGAUUUGGGCACUGUCUCAGCCAUGAGCUCGGUGAAAUUGUAGUAUCGGUGAAGAUGCCGAUUACCCGCUACGG